CGGGCCUUAACCAUGCAGUCGAACGAUGACCCGGUGCUUGCACCGGUGAUUAGUGGCGAACGGGUGAGUACACGUGAGUAACCUGCCCUUGACUCUGGGAUAAGCCUGGGAAACUGGGUCUAAUACCGGAUAUGACUCCUCAUCGCAUGGUGGGGGGUGGAAAGCUUUUGUGGUUUUGGAUGGACUCGCGGCCUAUCAGCUUGUUGGUGAGGUAAUGGCUCACCAAGGCGACGACGGGUAGCCGGCCUGAGAGGGUGACCGGCCACACUGGGACUGAGACACGGCCCAGACUCCUACGGGAGGCAGCAGUGGGGAAUAUUGCACAAUGGGCGAAAGCCUGAUGCAGCGACGCCGCGUGAGGGAUGACGGCCUUCGGGUUGUAAACCUCUUUCAGUAGGGAAGAAGCGAAAGUGACGGUACCUGCAGAAGAAGCGCCGGCUAACUACGUGCCAGCAGCCGCGGUAAUACGUGGGCGCAAGCGUUAUCCGGAAUUAUUGGGCGUAAAGAGCUGUAGGCGGUUUGUCGCGUCUGCCGUGAAAGUCCGGGGUACUCCGGAUCUGCGGUGGGUCGGGCAGACUAAUGUGUAGGGAAUGGAAUUCUCUGGUGUACGAAUGCGAAUUUCAGGGAGAACACCGUGGAAGGAGGUCUCGGGGCAUUACUGACGCUAGAGAAAGCUGGGGACAAACGAUUAAAUACCCUGGAUCAUGCCGUAACGGUGGCUAGGGUGUGGAGAUUCACUUUCGCCGUGUAACGAUUAGGCCCCCCGGGAACGCCAGUUAAC
Molecule: ribosomal RNA, 781 nt
Filed under: bacterium ASP13
Lineage: Bacteria
Description: bacterial SSU rRNA
Rfam family: Bacterial small subunit ribosomal RNA
Source: RNAcentral